AUGAACGCUAGCUACAGGCUUAACACAUGCAAGUCGAGGGGAAACGACAUCGAAAGCUUGCUUUUGAUGGGCGUCGACCGGCGCACGGGUGAGUAACGCGUAUCCAACCUGCCCAUCACUUGGGAAUAACCUUGCGAAAGUAAGACUAAUACCCAAUGAUAUCCCACGAAGGCAUCGGAAUGGGAUUAAAGAUUUAUCGGUGAUGGAUGGGGAUGCGUCUGAUUAGCUUGUUGGCGGGGUAACGGCCCACCAAGGCAACGAUCAGUAGGGGUUCUGAGAGGAAGGUCCCCCACAUUGGAACUGAGACACGGUCCAAACUCCUACGGGAGGCAGCAGUGGGGAAUAUUGGUCAAUGGGCGAGAGCCUGAACCAGCCAAGUAGCGUGCAGGAAGACGGCCCUAUGGGUUGUAAACUGCUUUUAUAAGGGAAUAAAGUGGGUCACGUGUGACUUUUUGCAUGUACCUUAUGAAUAAGGACCGGCUAAUUCCGUG
Molecule: ribosomal RNA, 491 nt
Filed under: uncultured bacterium
Lineage: Bacteria
Description: partial 16S ribosomal RNA
Rfam family: Bacterial small subunit ribosomal RNA
Source: RNAcentral